AGAGUUUGAUCCUGGCUCAGGAUGAACGCUGGCGGCGUGCCUAACACAUGCAAGUCGAACGGGGGCAGAUUGAAACCUAGUGAUAUCUGCCCGAGUGGCGGACGGGUGAGUAACGCGUGGACAACCUGCCGCAUGCAGGGGGAUACCGGCUGGAAACAGCCGCUAAUACCGCAUAUGCGCACGGCGCCGCAUGGCGCAGUGCGGAAAGGGAGCGAUCCCGGCAUGCGAUGGGUCCGCGUCCGAUUAGCUUGUUGGCGGGGCAGCGGCCCACCAAGGCGACGAUCGGUAGCCGCCCUGAGAGGGCGGCCGCCCACAUUGGGACUGAGACACGGCCCAGACUCCUACGGGAGGCAGCAGUGGGGGAUAUUGCACAAUGGGGGGACCCCUGAUGCAGCGACGCCGCGUGGGUGAAGGAGUGCUUCGCCAUGUAAAGCCCUAUCGGCAGGGAAGAAGCAAGACGGUACCUGACUAAGAAGCCCCGGCUAACUACGUGCCAGCAGCCGCGGUAAUACGUAGGGGGCGAGCGUUAUCCGGAUUCACUGGGUGUAAAGGGAGCGUAGACGGCCAUGCAAGCCAGGGGUGAAAGCCCGGGGCCCAACCCCGGGACUGCCCUUGGAACUGCAUGGCUGGAGUGCGGGAGGGGCAGGCGGAAUUCCUGGUGUAGCGGUGAAAUGCGUAGAUAUCAGGAGGAACACCGGCGGCGAAGGCGGCCUGCUGGACCGCGACUGACGUUGAGGCUCGAAAGCGUGGGGAGCGAACAGGAUUAGAUACCCUGGUAGUCCACGCCGUAAACGAUGACUUCUAGGGGUCCGGGGACGGACAGUGCCCCCGGUCCCGGCGCAAACGCAAUAAGUAGUCCACCUGGGGAGUACGUCCGCAAGGAUGAAACUCAAAGGAAUUGACGGGGACCCGCACAAGCGGUGGAGCAUGUGGUUUAAUUCGAAGCGACGCGAAGAACCUUACCCGGCCUUGACAUCCCCACGGAUGCAGGGCAAUGCCUGCAGCCCCUCGGGGCGUGGGAGACAGGUGGUGCAUGGUUGUCGUCAGCUCGUGUCGUGAGAUGUUGGGUCAAGUCCCGCAACGAGCGCAACCCCUGCCCCUAGUAGCCAGCACGUGGUGGUGGGCACUCUAGGGGGACUGCCGGGGACAACCCGGAGGAAGGCGGGGACGACGUCAAAUCAUCAUGCCCCUUAUGGCCGGGGCUACACACGUGCUACAAUGGCGCGCACAGAGGGAGGCGAGCGGGCGACCGUGAGCGAAGCCCGGAAAGCGCG
RNAcentral lists this ribosomal RNA (1274 nucleotides) under uncultured bacterium. RNAcentral's name for it is "bacterial SSU rRNA". It matches the Rfam family "Bacterial small subunit ribosomal RNA", at positions 8 to 1285 of the family's 1533-position model. The record is from RNAcentral.